RNAcentral lists this long non-coding RNA (5406 nucleotides) under Sus scrofa (pig). RNAcentral's name for it is "lncRNA (ENSSSCG00065056118.1)". Lineage: Eukaryota; Metazoa; Chordata; Mammalia; Artiodactyla; Suidae. The record is from RNAcentral.
GUAGUUAAUUCUUAUUACCUACAAGGGAAGAAAGUGUUUAUAUCUUUCUACAUCGGAACUGGAAACAACAAACCUAUCUUACCUAAGCCACUGAUAUUUGUGUUUUCAUUAUACACAACCAAGCUUAAUUCUUGGUUCAUGAUAUAGAAAAGUCAAUCACAACUAGUACUGAAGGUGUCCAGACAGCAGGGGCUUUCAAGGACACAGACACCAUCUCCCUGGAAUUGUCCCACAUGUCUGCAAGCAGGUGCUGGCCAGCACAAGGCUCAAAAAUUGAAUUUGAAAUUAUUUGUACUGAGUCCAAGGUCUCUAGUGUGUUGGCAAUACCCUACCCCUCCUAUUAUUAUUUAUCCACUUACUUCCUAUAUUUUUCUUCUGGCCCUUAUUGGCAUUUGAGUUUGAGGGCCCUGAUACUCAAUGAACACUGAGAAAUGCCAAGAAUUUCCCCUGGCAAUCAUGCCUACUCUGCACUAAAAUACAUACGUGAGGGUAUUUUCUCUGCUUUCCAUGCAGAUAUUUUGCACCUCAAGGCAAAGUUCCCAUUUUCUUGCAACUCAGUUUCUACAAAUACAUCAGUUCCUAUUAAAAUCAGAUGAUACCAUUCAGUAACCAGAGCUACUCUGUCUACCUAACCCAGCAGGUAAACCCAUAGCUGACCUUUAGAGUUGGAAGAGUGCUCAGAACAGCAUGAAGUGUCUCACAGAUCUAGGCUCUAACUUCAUUCUCUUCCUCAAAGUCAUGAAUGUUGUCUAGCUCAUGGGCACCUCUCCUGCCCCUGGCACCACAAGAGAAACCUUGAGGCCUCGUCUGCCUGCAACAAUGUCUUCCAUGAAGACUCAAAUGUCUUCUGCUCUCCACUAGCAGGAGGGGCCACCGAGGCCACUGGGGAGGGUGGUAGCCUUUAGCAUCUUUGUGCAGAGCCAGUCUCAGGGGACGGAGCCUCAGGACUGCACAGAGGGAGUAUGUGAGCUGUUCAGGAGGGCCUGAAGAACACAAAGAAAAGAACAGCUAUGCCUGCAGAGGUCAGUCCCCAAUCCUAACUCCACCUCACCCCAUCAAAACCCAAACAACAGCUCAUCAGGAAACACAACCUGCCCUCACGCUGAUGCGAAAAUGGGGUUUUUAUGCACAUUAGAGACCACCAAGCAUAAACCAAAUUAAGCCAUCCAUCUCUUCUUUGCUUGUGUCACAGAAGGAGAGGGUAGUCUGCAGAGGAAGAACAUAUGAAAUAGCACAAUUUCUUCGCUUUCUUAAAUUUUUUAUUUUGAAACUAUCAUAGAUUCACAUGCAACUGUAGGAAAUAAUACAGAAAGCUCAUAUGUCCUUCACCCAGCUCCCCCUGGUAACAGUUUACAAAACAACAGCACAAUAUCCUCAGCAGGAGAGGGGUGUGGAGGUCUCUGGGUAGUAUCCGGCCUCAGCCACAAAGUCGCCUUAACACAAUCCAUCCACUUUAUUUACACUUCACCGCUUUUACAUUCACUGAGGGGUGUGUGUGUGUGUGUGGUUCUCUGCAAUUUUAUCACAUGUGUAGAUUUGUGCACUCUCCCCCAGUCAAGAGACACAACAGUCCUAUCACAGGAUGCCUCAUGUUAUCUAACAGUCAUGGCCACCUCACUCCCUAUCCAUAUCCAUAAUCUCUAGCAACUACUAAUCUAUUCUCCAUCACAGCCAGAAUGGUGUCAGACAAGGCUGACAGGGAGCCCAGGAUUUUCAUCCACACCUAGUAAUGAGAAGCAUGCCCUAUCACUUGCAGUGCCAGAGGAAGCCACGUGGAGAUUCUUCCAAAAGAGCAACCACCAUACAUCUGAUUCAAAUACACUUACAAGCACUAUAAGCCAAAAUGGAAUUAUAAAAUAUAUUCAAGCAACUCACAGGAAGGCAGGAAAAAGAAAACAGGGAAAAAAACAAAACAGAGAACAAAAAGAAAGUCAAAGAGAAAAUGGCAGGCUUAGCCCUAACAUAUAAAUACUGACAAUAAAUGUAAAUAGUCUAAAUACACCUACUAAAAGACCGAGAUUGGUAGAAUGGAUUAGAAAACAUAACUCAGUAAUAUGCCAUCUGCAUGAAAUUCACUUCAUAUAACAGAAGAGGUAGGCUAAGCAUAAAAGAAUGGAAAAAGAUAUGCCAUGUAAACAGCAGUCAAAAGAAGAAUGGCUACAUUUAUAUCAAAUAAAGUAGAUUUCAGAGCAAAGAAAAUUUCUCAAGAGAUAUAUACAACAUUUAGAUAUUAUCUAAGUGUUCCUAAAAUAUCCCGAGCAAUUCCAGGUUCUUUCUCAAAGCCAACUCCAUGAUAAUGCUACUUGGGUAUUUCCUCUAACUGCCCAACUGAAAUUUUGUAAUGGUGAUGUAAGGGAUUAAGCUUACUUGCUCUUCUCCCCUAAAUGGAAGUAUGUGAGCACCCAGUGCACAGAAGCAGCUCUUUGAGGAAAAAGGGCUGGCAGCAGAUUUGUCUCACCAAGAACUCCAGCCAGACUCCAGCUAAGUGAAGAAGCAAGACACGGGGUGAAAGGGAGUGCCCCUCUAGGCUCCCCCCAGCCCCCCGGGGGUCAUACAUUGAGAGAUGUUGGUCUCAGGUGCACCAAGAUAGGGGGCAGAGGGAAGUGGGGAGGGUUUAGUUAAGACUUGAGAAUAAACAGAGGUUUCCCCAAAUCUGUCACAAGCUCCUCCAUCAGCUCUGGUCAUACUGGGGCAGCCUGUUGGGAGUGCCCGGCACAGGGAGAGACCAGACUGUUCUCAAAAAAAAAAAAAAAAAAAAAAAAAGAGUUCCCGUAGUGGCAUAGCGGAAACGAAUCCCACUAGGAACCAUGAGGUUGUGGGUUCAAUCCCUGGCCUCACCCAGUGGGUUAAGGAUCCGGUGUUGCCAUGCACUGUGGUGUAGGUUGUGGACAAGGCUUGGAUCCCACAUUGCUACGGCUAUGGUGUAGGCCGGCAGCUACAGCUCCGAUUGGACCCCUAGCAUGGGAACCUCCAUAUGCCACGGGUAUGGCUCUAAAAAGCAAAAACAAACAAACAAACAAACAAAAAAAAAAACCCCAAGUCUCCAAGUCUUGCCAAAGCACCUGGCUUAUCCCACCUAUGUGCUGUAAGGAAUGAAUUUACAGUAUUGUAGUGGGUUCCUAGCCACAUUCCAGAGUGAGAUGUUACUCAGCUUUAAGGCAAAGGAAUAAAUUUUACCCUCCUGGUCUGAGCUGUGGCUUCUACCUUUGUUCUGCAUCUUUAUUCAAAGUCAUUAAGACAUCUGUCCCUGCUGGGAAUGGUACAUCCAUGCACUGCUAUGUGGUUCACAAAGGUAUCUUCAUGGUUAUUAUAGUCCUGUACCCUCAGAAUCACAGGCAUUACCAAACCCAUACAGAGCUACUCAGACUAGUCAGGACGGCUUGUCUCUAGGACCCCCUACCCCUUUUCACUCUUGGAAAAAUGGCAAGUCCCAAGGGCUCUGUUUCCAUUCACCCUCUGAUGCACCUAUGGGAGGGCGUGGUUUUUUCCUCUGUUGCUGAUGGUGUAACCCUAACAAAGGCUUCCUCUAUUUCCAGUAAUCAAAUACGACCUGGCCGGCCAAGAACAUGGUGGGGAUGUGCUCACAACCCCUGACAGUACGUCUCAGGAAAGUUGGCUGCCUUCUCAACAUGCGGCAGGAGCAAUAACCUCUAUCUAACACGAAUGCUGGCAUCCAUUCCACAAGCAACUGUUAAGAGUCCCUACUGUGCUCUCCAAUCAGCCAGGCAAGAGUCAUCCUCCUGACCUCUGGAUUCACAGCAGCGAACCCCCAGGGGGAAGAACGCCCAACAUCCUACUGCCCACACCCACACCCACACCCACAGGGAAAGCCAGGUGCAUUCACAGCUCACACCCUAUCAAUGAUCAGGGAGUGGGGGAACCCACAGACACCUUCCCAGGAUCAACAGCCACAGACAGUCCAGCUGCUUUAAGAAAGAAGGGAACAGAGAGGUUGGUACCAUCACCACCACCACCAUUGCCACCACACAGAGAAAGAAGCGCAUUUCCAACCCAGGAGGAGUGAAGAUGGAAGUGACAGCUUAAGUGACAGACCAAGAUAGUGUCUUCCCCCUUCAAGUUAGGAGAGCAGACAUCAGGGAGGGAGGGUACAGUUCACCAGAAUGAUCAUAAAAAGCCAUCACUGCCCUGCUUAACACCUAAGUCACUGAGAGGUAAUGUUUUAAAGGAAAAGCAUGAAAGCAUCUUUGACUUAGGCCUGCAUAGACACAGCCUGAUGAAGAAAAAGAAGAAAACAGUUCUUGUCAAGCCCCUCAUCACCCCACCACCCUGGAAUCCCCUGCUAGUGGUUCUUGGAUCUAAAUCCGAAGAGCACAGAGACCCUGGCCAGGCCCAGGGUGUGUGCUCUCUACACGGCACCCUUAAUUUUUUUUAAUUUGUUGCCAUUGUUUAAAAUUUGGAAGAUUUCACAUAAAGAAAUCUGGAUUUCUGGCUUCCUUUGAAAUAUCACAAGACAUAGACCCCCUAUGAAUCCACUGCCUAAGCCAACAUGUGGAACUGGGGUGGGUGACAGCCGCUCCCCUUGGAGCCCUCUCGCCUCCAGGUCUGCGCUGGCUUCACCGUGGUGGUGCUGACUAGUCCCAGAAGACACCUAUUAUGGAGUCGAGGCAAGUGACAAUGCCAAAUAGAGACUUGAUAAAGAAGCUCCUGCUCCCCUCUCCCUUCACCACCUCCACCCCCCAAAAAAUUGCCCUCCAAGAGUCUUAUCUCAUUGGAGAAGACUUAUCUGGUACAAAAUCUGAGGAAUGUGGAAGGAGGAACUCAGCCAACAAGCUGAAAGGCAGCCCUGGUUUCAGUGAUAACCCUCAGUGUGCUAGAACUAGAGAUGGAGACCACAGAGCCAACCUGAGUUGGAACAGCAUCUAGGAGGGAGAAGGGAAGAUGCUGCCCCUCCUCCACCCUGUCUUCCUCAGCUCUGGACCCCACAGGGCACUUCCCAUGAGACAUCUAUCAGAGGGAACCAAGGCAGAACAUGUGGCUUACUCCACACUAAAGCUUGGCAACCAGGUCAGCACUGGAAAGAAUUCUUCGCAAGGGACCUGGCCUCUGCCUUGUAGUGCGUGUGUGUGGUCUUGAGCUAGACCCUGGUGCUUUCAGGGCUACUGUUUUCUCAUUUAUCAACAAAGGGCUUAGGACUUCCCUGGGAGUUCCCACUGUGGCACAGCAGAAAUGAACCCGACUAGUAUACAGAAGGAUGUGGGUUCCAUCCCUGGCCUUGCUCAGUGGGUCAAAGGAUCCAGCAUUGCUGUGAGCUGCAGUGUAGACUGCAGAUGUGGCUCGGAUCCCAAGUUGCUAUAGCUGUGGUGUAGGCUGGCAGAUGUAGCUCCGAUUCAAUCCCUAGCCUGGGAACUUCCAUAUAUUGCAGGCACAGCCCUAAAAAGCAAAAAA